GGAAUCGCUGGAUCAGGCCCCCUCCGCGCGCGCGCAUCGAGCCCUGCAGCUCCCCCUCGGCAAUCCAUUCAGAGGCACCGCCCCUGUGCAGCAGCAUACGUGCGUGGCGCAUUGAAAUCUCAGACAUCAGCCCAAGGUUUUCUGUAACUUUCCUACAAUGGCAAGAA
This is a long non-coding RNA of Panicum virgatum (switchgrass), 167 nucleotides long. RefSeq lists it as uncharacterized. The record is from RefSeq and is a predicted model, not a curated record. The transcript has 3 exons. Lineage: Eukaryota; Viridiplantae; Streptophyta; Magnoliopsida; Poales; Poaceae.